CCGCGCCUGCAGCAUGAUGGUCAAGGCCACCACGCCCGUGCGCAUUCUGAAUCUGGUCGCGCCCCUGGCUCACAAGGCCACGGACAUGCACACCACGGAGACCGCUGCCUCAGUGCAGGCCAGGCCCGGUGCAGUUUCCCGGCUGAUCGGCGCAAGCCUUCGGCCGGGCGACGUGGAAAGCGCGAACGCACG
RNAcentral lists this non-coding RNA (192 nucleotides) under unclassified sequences. RNAcentral describes it as "RT-15 RNA". It matches the Rfam family "RT-15 RNA". From Rfam's summary of the family: Proteobacteria. Nearby to self-splicing intron genes The record is from Rfam by way of RNAcentral.